RNAcentral lists this ribosomal RNA (497 nucleotides) under uncultured bacterium. RNAcentral's name for it is "partial 16S ribosomal RNA". It matches the Rfam family "Bacterial small subunit ribosomal RNA", at positions 28 to 507 of the family's 1533-position model. The record is from RNAcentral.
GAUGAACGCUGGCGGCGUGCCUAAUACAUGCAAGUCGAGCGAACGGAGGAGAAGCUUUCCUCUCUGAUGUUAGCGGCGGACGGGUUAGUAACACGUGGAUAACCUACCUAUGAGAAAGGGAUAACUUCGGGAAACCAUAGCUCAUACCGGCUAAGAUUGUGAACCGCAGGGUUCAAAAGUGAAAGACGGUCUUGCUGUCUCUUAUAGAUGGAUCCGCGCUGCAUUAGCUAGUUGGUAAGGUAACGGCUUACCAAGGCAACGAUGCAUAGCCGACCUGAGAGGGUGAUCGGCCACACUGGAACUGAGACACGGUCCAGACUCCUACGGGAGGCAGCAGUAGGGAAUCUUCCGCAAUGGGCGAAAGCCUGAUCGAGCAACGCCGCGUGAGUGAUGAAGGUCUUCGGAUCGUAAAACUCUGUUAUUAGGGACGAACAUAUGUGUACGUAACUCUGCACAUAUUGACGGUACCUAAACAGAAAGCCACGGCUAACUACGUG